This 76-nucleotide transfer RNA is filed under the name Sodalis-like secondary symbiont of Cantao ocellatus. Its description in RNAcentral is "tRNA-Ala". It matches the Rfam family "tRNA". Rfam says of the family: Transfer RNA (tRNA) molecules are approximately 80 nucleotides in length. Their secondary structure includes four short double-helical elements and three loops (D, anti-codon, and T loops). The record is from RNAcentral. Lineage: Bacteria; Pseudomonadati; Pseudomonadota; Gammaproteobacteria; Enterobacterales; Bruguierivoracaceae.
GGGGCUAUAGCUCAGCUGGGAGAGCGCCCGCUUUGCACGCAGGAGGUCAGCGGUUCGAUCCCGCUUAGCUCCACCA